RNAcentral lists this ribosomal RNA (538 nucleotides) under Penicillium sp. E5. RNAcentral's name for it is "eukaryotic LSU rRNA". It matches the Rfam family "Eukaryotic large subunit ribosomal RNA", at positions 59 to 600 of the family's 3401-position model. The record is from RNAcentral. Lineage: Eukaryota; Fungi; Ascomycota; Eurotiomycetes; Eurotiales; Aspergillaceae.
AAGAAACCAACAGGGAUUGCCCCAGUAACGGCGAGUGAAGCGGCAAGAGCUCAAAUUUGAAAGCUGGCUCCUUCGGGGUCCGCAUUGUAAUUUGCAGAGGAUGCUUCGGGAGCGGUCCCCAUCUAAGUGCCCUGGAACGGGACGUCAUAGAGGGUGAGAAUCCCGUAUGGGAUGGGGUGUCCGCGCCCGUGUGAAGCUCCUUCGACGAGUCGAGUUGUUUGGGAAUGCAGCUCUAAAUGGGUGGUAAAUUUCAUCUAAAGCUAAAUAUUGGCCGGAGACCGAUAGCGCACAAGUAGAGUGAUCGAAAGAUGAAAAGCACUUUGAAAAGAGAGUUAAAAAGCACGUGAAAUUGUUGAAAGGGAAGCGCUUGCGACCAGACUCGCUCGCGGGGUUCAGCCGGCAUUCGUGCCGGUGUAUUUCCCCGCGGGCGGGCCAGCGUCGGUUUGGGCGGUCGGUCAAAGGCCCUCGGAAGGUAACGCCCCUAGGGGCGUCUUAUAGCCGAGGGUGCAAUGCGACCUGCCUAGACCGAGGAACGCGC